CUUGAACCCAGGAGGCAGAUGUUGCAGUGAGCUGAGUUCAUGCCACUCACUCCAGUCUGGGUGACAGAGCAAGACUCUGUCUCAAAACGACAACAACAACAAAACAAAAAACAAAAUAAAACUAUGAAAAUGACAUGGUCCCUACACUCUACAAAUCAACACAAUGCCAAGGGAAAUUUUUGUUGUCUUAUUGCUCUAAGAUCUAAGAGAGGUUUUUUCGUCAUCUUAUUGUGCUGUGGUUAGUGAGAUGGUAGGGCUGAUCACAGGAUGCCAGAUAAGCAUGGAAAUAUGUUCAGCUGGCCUCCUGGCAGGGAAGAGGGGACACACCUGUCAGGUGUGGCCCACCUCUCAGGAGAUGAUGAUACUCAGGUGGGCCAGGGUGUGGUGCUGGGUGACUGGCUGGGUUUAGAGCCAGUUGCUCUGGGUUUUGGAGGACUCUAAGCCCAAGAGGUAGUAGAGUCACGGGCAGGGAAGCCAAGGCGCACACAGCAAUCUCUAGAUUAGGCUGGGGGCAUGGAGAUCAGAUCUGGCCAGACACAUGAUGCCUGGGCCAUCAGAUACCAGGACCCCUCAACUCCACUUAACAUCAUGUUUAUUCAUUCAAGCAUUCCUUCAGCAACUUAAAGCUUUGAAUGUCUGUUCCCUCAUCUGCGAUUUGGGGAAAAUAAUGUAAUAAACAUACACUGUGCCUGGCACAUAGUUGGUACCCAAUGAGUGGUAGCUGGAUACCUAACCUCUUUUAAUUUUAAACUAUUUUCCUUUUUCUCUUCUUGCAGCUGUCAUUCUUCACCUUCUCAUGCUCCAAGGGGGAUGUUUUGUUGUCUUAUAGCCAGAAUCUUUUUCCUUUUGCAGCAUCACUGUAUGGUACAUUUUCUCUUUCUCAUGUGUAAGAAACCAGAGGGGAAGGAAGAGGCUGUGAGAGAACAAUUGUGAGAUUCGCCUGGUGACAUGCUUUUGAUAAGAAUAUGGAAGAUGAACUUAAUUUCCAUCUUAGAAAGGAUGUAAAUGCCUGAAUCUAAUAUGUUCUUAAUGAAUUUCCUUCAUUAGGAAAAGUAUUUCGAAAGGGAUUCCCCAAACUGAAAAGAAGAAAAGUUUAAAAAUAUAUUUUUAAAAAUUAUAUUGAUACCAUGCCAGCUUCUGAGUGAAGAGGGACACUUCCAUUCUCAUGGAAGAGUCUAGUGGACAUUUUUUGUUUCUUGGCUUUAAUAUCGAAACCCCCAAACUUCCUGCUGACACUUCAAUCUUCCUUUGUGGAAAUGCCCUUUUGUGUGUGAGUUGACAUGAGAGCAAUUCCCAGAAUAUGCCUCACAUUGUGGGACCUGGGUGUCCAGAUUCUUCCUCCCUACUGCUCGUUGUCAUGUUCAAUGGCCAAGCGUGUGACCUAAAGGCCAAGAGUGUGAUCUUAGAGCCAGGCUCAUGACUAAGCCCCACCAAUCAAAAACCAUUUCUGGGACUUUGACUCUUCAACAAGUAAGACAAUGG
This 1482-nucleotide long non-coding RNA is filed under the name Homo sapiens (human). RNAcentral's name for it is "HSALNT0120992". Lineage: Eukaryota; Metazoa; Chordata; Mammalia; Primates; Hominidae. The record is from RNAcentral.